This 285-nucleotide long non-coding RNA is filed under the name Elaeis guineensis (African oil palm). RNAcentral's name for it is "long non-coding RNA (EGUI_LNC043432)". The record is from RNAcentral. Lineage: Eukaryota; Viridiplantae; Streptophyta; Magnoliopsida; Arecales; Arecaceae.
GUCGGAUCAGAAAUCUCAUCCCUUAGAUGAGAUGGUGGGUUCCAGCUAUAUCCUUGGGGUAAGGAUCUCCACUUUUAUUUAUUCUUCUUACUUGAAACCGAUGUUUCCAACUUGACUUAUUUUCCUUUCGAAGCUAGCCCACAACAUCACCAUCCUCAGUGAGGGCCUCAUUAGUUUUAAUUGAAUGAAGUUCUCGCUAGAAGAAAAACUGCAAGCUUCCAAGGCCCAAACAAAGGUGGUUGAAGAGGCAAAGAAGGCGGUCAAAGAGGUGGCAUCCCAAGCCAA